UUCCUCCCCUCUCAUGUGCCCGCUGCCGCUCAGGUAGGUCACCCCCGCCAUAGCAGUUGCCUGUCCGCCAUGAUCCGAGCGAGCUCGUGCUCGACCUCGGGGUAGUAUUUCCGCCACGCCUCCGCUCUUUUGGUGCGCGGGAAGGGUGCCAUGUUGCUUCUUCUUCUUCCCCAGCGAACGAGGGAGCACCAAGGCCCAGCUCAUUGCCAUCCUCGCCCCCCAUUUCUUCCUCUUCUAGGUUCAGAUAUGCGUUGGAGUUUGUCUACGCCUCGCCGUCACCUCGACGAGCCCCGCGCAGCCUCUCCAUGUCCUAGGUAUAGUAAGUCUAGCCCUCUCUUUCUCUGCCAAAUCCCUCGCGCUCUAGUUUCCCCUCCGAAUAGUGAUCUUCGUGCCAACAGCGAGUUCUCAGUGCUCUGGCCAAUCCCCGUUUUUUUCUGUGGAUGUUUGCCGGGACCAGCCCGCUCCCUAGCUUGCGCUCCUGCCGCUGCCCUUGCCUCUCCGCUCUUAUGUUCGCGUAUUGCAGAAGCACAACAUGCCCAUAGCCCCGCGCACGCCCCUAUUUCUCCUCGUCGUGCAUGCUUGACCCUGUAGCCGCUGUGACCGAGGCAAGCUCGAGCUCAUCCUCGAGUAUCACACACCCAAGCUCCAGGAAUGGAACCCCCUCAGCAUCCUGCACCCCCACCGGUGAGAUUAUGCCCCGCUAGUCACCGUCAUGGCUGCCAGUGACGACCUCCUCUUCUCCGUCCUAGGGAAGAGGGAGACUAGCGCAUGUAUUUAUAUUUAGGACGCAAGCCCACCUUCUGGACACGAAGCCCAACCGCAGUCUAGUGGUAGCGCCCAUGAUCUUGAUCCAAGGAGACCCAGAUUCGAUCCCCCACCUACGCAAAUAAAACCAUCCAUUUUUUCUCUGUUAGUUGUAGAUCUGACAGUGGGCCCCUCGGCCCACAUGUCACCCCCUUGGGCCUUUGGUGUCUAUGGCCAAUGGGGCCCUAUGCAUUUUUUUAUUUAUUGAUUGUGAUGUUUUCUGUGUCUUGUAUUAAUUCGAAUUCAUUCCAUUUAGCGAUGACUCCAAAUAUGGACAUAGCCAAAUUUUGCAACUGCCACAUUUGGCAGAUUUUAACUUAUAAGUCGUAUGAUGAAUUUUGUAUAUAUGUUUUGUGUGGCUUUUCUCAUCGGAACAUGUGUGUGUGAUAUAUGAAAUUGGGUAGAAAAUCAAUGAAUCCAUUGGUGGAAUUGUUUCUAUCAAUGGAGCAACUUUUUGAAAAUGUUAUUUUGUGUGUAGAUGUCAUUUUGUGAUUUUUGUAUGAUUUAAUUCUUGCAUGAUAUAAUGAACUUGUCAACAUGGAAGUGGUAGUGUUUUGAGGGUACUAGGCCAUGGUAUUUUUCUUUGCCAUGAUAAGCUUGUAGUUUAUGGGUUUCUUGCUGUAAAGUUGCUUAGAAAAUGUUACUGUUUUCAUUGCUCAGAUAUUUCGAAGUAUAGAAUCUCUUAUUUUCUUACCAUGUUGUGUUGAUGAUUCCCACGAAUACAUUGCCCCUUUGGGGUUGGUCGAGUGGCAUGAAUUGUUGUGCUUGUUAACCUCUGUCAAUUGGUUCCUUCACCUUGCCAAAUAGGUUUUACAUAUUAGUUAUAUUUCCUGUCAAAGUUGCUAUUAUGUUGUAAAUUGUUGUCAUUUCGCCUUGCGAAUUUGACGAAGUGUGAGAAUCACUAGUUAUUGUCAUGCCAUGUUUAGGGGAUACUACCAUGUUUUCUAUGCACUUUAAGCUCAUGCUUAGUGCUAGUGUUUUGUAUUAGUUGUUGUCCUAUAUCCCCUUGCUAAAUUUCAUGUCAUUUUAUGAUUUUUGUAUGAUUUAAUUCUUGCAUGAUAUGAUGAACUCGUCAACAUGGAAGUUGUGGUGUUUUGUGGGUACUGGGCCCUGGUAUUUUUAUUUGCCAUGAUAAGCUUGUAGUUUAGUUCGUUUCUUGAUGUAAUGUAGCUAAGAAAGUGUUACUGUUUUCAUUGCUCAAAUAUUUUGAAGUAUAGAAUCUGUUAUUUUCUUGCCAUGUUGUGUUGAUGAUUCCCAUGAAUACAUUGGUCCUUUGGAGUUGGUACAAUGCCAUGAAUUGUUGUGCUUGUUAACCGCUGUCAAUUGGUGCCUUCACCUUGCCAAAUAGGUUUUGCAUCUUAGUUAUAUUUCCUUUCAAAGUUGCUAUGAUGUUAUAAAAUUUUGCAAUUUCCCCUUGUGAAUUUGACCAAGUGUGAGAAUAUGUAGUAUUGCCAUGCCAUGUUUAGGGGAUCCUACCAUGUUUUCUAUGCAGUUUCAGCUCAUGCUUAGUGCUAGUGUUUUGUAUUAGUUGUUGUUCUCUAUCACCUUGAUAAAUUUCAUGCCAUGUAACUUGAUGUAGAAUAGUGUUUUGUUGAUGUCAACAUGUCACCAGAUUAAAAAUUGCAGGUGCAAACUGAGAUUUACACUAAGUCCUAAGUUGUAAUAUUUCUUACCAUGUUGAGAGCUUAAUUGUCGUUGUUUCAUGAACCUGUCAAUAUUGCUAUUAGUUAGAGAUUAUCGUGAUCUUUGAUUUCUUCAUAUUCAUGCCUUGGUUGGACUUACUGAGUGGUUGUAGCUACUAGUUUGCACAUGAUCAAAGUGGUAUUUUGUUGUUCGUGGGCAGAUUGGUGGUGGUUUUGUUUUGUACCUUGUGUGAGUUGUGCUUAGUUAUUUCGCAUGUAUUUUAGAUCUCUUGCACCUAGAAUUUUUUGCCAUGUCCAUUGGCAUACUUGGAGUUCAAAGAAAAUGCACAUAGCUCCCUCUCAAAUGUUGUUUAGACAUUGUUGCCUCCCAUACAUUAUUUUGUGAUUCUGAGAGAUGCGUAGCUCGGUUUGCGACGAUCUUUAUACGUUUUUGCAAUAUUUUCUCAGGAUGCAUCCAUUUAUUCCAUGUUCAUGCAUGUCCAAAUAAAUAAACUUGAGUUUCUAUCCACAAUACUAACAACUUAAUAAAUGCAUGAGGAAGAUGACUAGUUAGCAUUGCCAUGAGACUUUCUUAACCACACUCAUGCAUCAUGUUAUUUGAAGCAUUGCACCAUGUCGUGUGUUUAUUGGAUGUGUAUUUUAUUUCAGUAGCAUCGGGAGCUGAGAACGAGUGCGAGGAUCACGUUGAGUACGUUCCUGAAGAGCAAGAGUUGUACCCGUCAGAAGAUCGAACAAGCAAGAUGAUUGUGACCUCGAUAUCGUCUCUAAUUUUGUUGUGCUUAGAUGACUCGUUUCCCUCGCUAUUUUAUCGCUGCCUACCACGUAAAAAUAAGCCUCCAAACAUUUCCAUGAACGCCUCUAACCCCUCCACUGCCUAGCAAAUAUUGCGAAGAUAGCGCUUGCUCGACCCUCUUAUAGCAUUGCUAGUUGCAGGUGCAGGAUGAUCCAUGUGUUAACAUGGGCUUUUGAAUAUCAUCUUAUUAUUGUUAUUUAAUUUAAUGCACAUAUAUACUUGGUAAUAGGCGGAAGGCUUGGCCUUUUGUUGGGUGUUUUGUUCUGCUUUUGCCGCCUUAGUUUCGGCUACCGGUGUCAAGUUCCAUAUUGAGCGCUCCUAACACACUCAGGGUUGUUAUGGGGACCCCCUUGAAACUCGUUUUGGUUAAGACUUGUCUGGCAAG
Molecule: long non-coding RNA, 3625 nt
Filed under: Hordeum vulgare
Lineage: Eukaryota; Viridiplantae; Streptophyta; Magnoliopsida; Poales; Poaceae
Description: long non-coding RNA (HVUL_LNC009970)
Source: RNAcentral